UUUACCACCUCCACAACCCCAAAUCACAAACUCCCUUCACGACUCCUACUCCAUUUUUUGCCCUCGUCCUAACCACGGUUUCAGUUUUUUCUAAUUCCUAUUUCAAAAUUUUCGACUUUUUUUGCAGGUCCAAAAUGCCCUAAGAAGGAUUUUUACAGGAAAGCAGUAGCUGGCCGGGACAUCGAGGUCACGAAAAAGACCCAGCCGAAACUCGAAUCUGCAUAACAUUG
RNAcentral lists this long non-coding RNA (230 nucleotides) under Lathyrus oleraceus (garden pea). Its description in RNAcentral is "Pisum sativum (pea) long non-coding RNA (PSAT_LNC014554)". Lineage: Eukaryota; Viridiplantae; Streptophyta; Magnoliopsida; Fabales; Fabaceae. The record is from RNAcentral.